This 64-nucleotide transfer RNA is filed under the name Campylobacter coli. RNAcentral's name for it is "tRNA-Met". It matches the Rfam family "tRNA", at positions 5 to 66 of the family's 71-position model. Rfam says of the family: Transfer RNA (tRNA) molecules are approximately 80 nucleotides in length. Their secondary structure includes four short double-helical elements and three loops (D, anti-codon, and T loops). Lineage: Bacteria; Pseudomonadati; Campylobacterota; Epsilonproteobacteria; Campylobacterales; Campylobacteraceae. The record is from RNAcentral.
AAGUAGAGCAGUGGUUAGCUCGUCGGGCUCAUAACCCGAAGGUCGGGAGUUCAAAUCUCCCCUU